UACAGAGGGGGCAAGCGUUGUUCGGAAUUACUGGGCGUAAAGGGCGCGUAGGCGGCCUGUUAAGUCGAACGUGAAAUCCCCGGGCUCAACCCGGGAACUGCGUCCGAUACUGGCAGGCUUGAAUUCGGGAGAGGGAUGUGGAAUUCCAGGUGUAGCGGUGAAAUGCGUAGAUAUCGGGAAGAACACCCGUGGCGAAGGCGGUUCUCUGGGACGGUACUGACGCUGAGACGCGAAAGCGUGGGGAGCGAACAGG
This 253-nucleotide ribosomal RNA is filed under the name uncultured bacterium. RNAcentral's name for it is "partial 16S ribosomal RNA". It matches the Rfam family "Bacterial small subunit ribosomal RNA", at positions 524 to 776 of the family's 1533-position model. The record is from RNAcentral.